UUAAGCGACUAAGCGUACACGGUGGAUGCCCUGGCAGUCAGAGGCGAUGAAGGACGUGCUAAUCUGCGAUAAGCGUCGGUAAGGUGAUAUGAACCGUUAUAACCGGCGAUUUCCGAAUGGGGAAACCCAGUGUGAUUCGUCACACUAUCAUUAACUGAAUCCAUAGGUUAAUGAGGCGAACCGGGGGAACUGAAACAUCUAAGUACCCCGAGGAAAAGAAAUCAACCGAGAUUCCCCCAGUAGCGGCGAGCGAACGGGGAGCAGCCCAGAGCCUGAAUCAGUGUGUGUGUUAGUGGAAGCGUCUGGAAAGGCGCGCGAUACAGGGUGACAGCCCCGUACACAAAAAUGCACAUGCUGUGAGCUCGAUGAGUAGGGCGGGACACGUGGUAUCCUGUCUGAAUAUGGGGGGACCAUCCUCCAAGGCUAAAUACUCCUGACUGACCGAUAGUGAACCAGUACCGUGAGGGAAAGGCGAAAAGAACCCCGGCGAGGGGAGUGAAAAAGAACCUGAAACCGUGUACGUACAAGCAGUGGGAGCACGCUUAGGCGUGUGACUGCGUACCUUUUGUAUAAUGGGUCAGCGACUUAUAUUCUGUAGCAAGGUUAACCGAAUAGGGGAGCCGAAGGGAAACCGAGUCUUAACUGGGCGUUAAGUUGCAGGGUAUAGACCCGAAACCCGGUGAUCUAGCCAUGGGCAGGUUGAAGGUUGGGUAACACUAACUGGAGGACCGAACCGACUAAUGUUGAAAAAUUAGCGGAUGACUUGUGGCUGGGGGUGAAAGGCCAAUCAAACCGGGAGAUAGCUGGUUCUCCCCGAAAGCUAUUUAGGUAGCGCCUCGUGAAUUCAUCUCCGGGGGUAGAGCACUGUUUCGGCAAGGGGGUCAUCCCGACUUACCAACCCGAUGCAAACUGCGAAUACCGGAGAAUGUUAUCACGGGAGACACACGGCGGGUGCUAACGUCCGUCGUGAAGAGGGAAACAACCCAGACCGCCAGCUAAGGUCCCAAAGUCAUGGUUAAGUGGGAAACGAUGUGGGAAGGCCCAGACAGCCAGGAUGUUGGCUUAGAAGCAGCCAUCAUUUAAAGAAAGCGUAAUAGCUCACUGGUCGAGUCGGCCUGCGCGGAAGAUGUAACGGGGCUAAACCAUGCACCGAAGCUGCGGCAGCGACGCUUAUGCGUUGUUGGGUAGGGGAGCGUUCUGUAAGCCUGCGAAGGUGUGCUGUGAGGCAUGCUGGAGGUAUCAGAAGUGCGAAUGCUGACAUAAGUAACGAUAAAGCGGGUGAAAAGCCCGCUCGCCGGAAGACCAAGGGUUCCUGUCCAACGUUAAUCGGGGCAGGGUGAGUCGACCCCUAAGGCGAGGCCGAAAGGCGUAGUCGAUGGGAAACAGGUUAAUAUUCCUGUACUUGGUGUUACUGCGAAGGGGGGACGGAGAAGGCUAUGUUGGCCGGGCGACGGUUGUCCCGGUUUAAGCGUGUAGGCUGGUUUUCCAGGCAAAUCCGGAAAAUCAAGGCUGAGGCGUGAUGACGAGGCACUACGGUGCUGAAGCAACAAAUGCCCUGCUUCCAGGAAAAGCCUCUAAGCAUCAGGUAACAUCAAAUCGUACCCCAAACCGACACAGGUGGUCAGGUAGAGAAUACCAAGGCGCUUGAGAGAACUCGGGUGAAGGAACUAGGCAAAAUGGUGCCGUAACUUCGGGAGAAGGCACGCUGAUAUGUAGGUGAAGUCCCUCGCGGAUGGAGCUGAAAUCAGUCGAAGAUACCAGCUGGCUGCAACUGUUUAUUAAAAACACAGCACUGUGCAAACACGAAAGUGGACGUAUACGGUGUGACGCCUGCCCGGUGCCGGAAGGUUAAUUGAUGGGGUUAGCGCAAGCGAAGCUCUUGAUCGAAGCCCCGGUAAACGGCGGCCGUAACUAUAACGGUCCUAAGGUAGCGAAAUUCCUUGUCGGGUAAGUUCCGACCUGCACGAAUGGCGUAAUGAUGGCCAGGCUGUCUCCACCCGAGACUCAGUGAAAUUGAACUCGCUGUGAAGAUGCAGUGUACCCGCGGCAAGACGGAAAGACCCCGUGAACCUUUACUAUAGCUUGACACUGAACAUUGAGCCUUGAUGUGUAGGAUAGGUGGGAGGCUUUGAAGUGUGGACGCCAGUCUGCAUGGAGCCGACCUUGAAAUACCACCCUUUAAUGUUUGAUGUUCUAACGUGGACCCGUAAUCCGGGUUGCGGACAGUGUCUGGUGGGUAGUUUGACUGGGGCGGUCUCCUCCUAAAGAGUAACGGAGGAGCACGAAGGUUGGCUAAUCCUGGUCGGACAUCAGGAGGUUAGUGCAAUGGCAUAAGCCAGCUUGACUGCGAGCGUGACGGCGCGAGCAGGUGCGAAAGCAGGUCAUAGUGAUCCGGUGGUUCUGAAUGGAAGGGCCAUCGCUCAACGGAUAAAAGGUACUCCGGGGAUAACAGGCUGAUACCGCCCAAGAGUUCAUAUCGACGGCGGUGUUUGGCACCUCGAUGUCGGCUCAUCACAUCCUGGGGCUGAAGUAGGUCCCAAGGGUAUGGCUGUUCGCCAUUUAAAGUGGUACGCGAGCUGGGUUUAGAACGUCGUGAGACAGUUCGGUCCCUAUCUGCCGUGGGCGCUGGAGAACUGAGGGGGGCUGCUCCUAGUACGAGAGGACCGGAGUGGACGCAUCACUGGUGUUCGGGUUGUCAUGCCAAUGGCACUGCCCGGUAGCUAAAUGCGGAAGAGAUAAGUGCUGAAAGCAUCUAAGCACGAAACUUGCCCCGAGAUGAGUUCUCCCUGACCCUUUAAGGGUCCUGAAGGAACGUUGAAGACGACGACGUUGAUAGGCCGGGUGUGUAAGCGCAGCGAUGCGUUGAGCUAACCGGUACUAAUGAACCGUGAGGCUUAACCUU
This 2902-nucleotide ribosomal RNA is filed under the name Escherichia coli. RNAcentral's name for it is "bacterial LSU rRNA". It matches the Rfam family "Bacterial large subunit ribosomal RNA". Lineage: Bacteria; Pseudomonadati; Pseudomonadota; Gammaproteobacteria; Enterobacterales; Enterobacteriaceae. The record is from RNAcentral.